Molecule: non-coding RNA, 635 nt
Organism: Dicentrarchus labrax (European seabass)
Lineage: Eukaryota; Metazoa; Chordata; Actinopteri; Moronidae
Source: the annotation of a RefSeq genome assembly
CAGCACUGAGGGGGAAACACCAUGAUAUGUUGAGGACAGCUACAGUUCACUGACUCUGUGUGUUUGCAUAUGUGUCCUUCCUCUCUGCUCCCAGCCGUUAAGAGGCCAGUGUUGAUCAGUGGCUGUCCAGGCCUUUCAGAGCCACUGACACGCCGGCAGCACAAUGAUAAUGUCACUGACUCUACUGCUGGCCACCCUGGGGCUCCUUGUUCAGGAUUCAUCAGGAGAAAUCAUUGUGACUCAGUCUCCUAAAGCUCAGUCUGUUGUUCCAGGACAGACUGUCUCUAUCAGAUGUAACGUUAGUCCAAGCACUAGUUACUGCUUCAACUGGUACCUUCAGAAACCUGGAGAAUCUCCUAAACUCCUCAUUUACUGUGGUUCAACCCGUCAGUCUGGAGUUUCAGAUCGUUUCAGUGGGAGCGGAUCUGGUAGUGAUUACACUCUGACCAUCAGUGGAGUCCAGACUGAAGAUGCAGCAGUUUACUACUGUCAGGGUGAAUUCUAUAUCAACAGUCAGUAUGUGUUCAAACAGUGAUACAACGUCGUACAAAAACCUCCCUCAGCUGGAGAGGAACUGAUCUCAAUCAACAUUGUUUAACUUUCAACAAAAAAAUAUUUUUCAUAUUUUUCUUCAA